GUAAAAUGGGGUACUAUAAACCCACAACACAGUGCUGUGUCAUUAUUAGACCAGGUGAUGGGAAAGAGAGAGAUGGAGGGGAGGUGGGGGUAAAAUGGGGUACUAUAAACCCACAACACAGUGCUGUGUCAUUAUUAGACCAGGUGAUGGGAUAGAGAGAGAUGGAGGGGAGGUGGGGGUAAAAUGGGGUACUAUAAACCCACAACACAGUGCUGUGUCAUUAUUAGACCAGGUGAUGGGAAAGAGAGAGAUGGAGGGGAGUAGUUGUGUGUGGAUGAUGCGUAGUCGGCAGUGUGCUAAACAGUGAGGACGUUGAUGUGUGGAUUAGAUCAUGAUGGUUGUGAUUGUCAUCGUUUAUCACUCAAAGCCAAAGGUUCAGAUGUUCCCGGGGUUUUCCAUCUGUGUGUGCAGUCAGAUUUUUACAGAGAAUAACUUAUUAUGGUUAGAGGACAGAGAGUCUGCUUCCCAAACGGACCCCUAUUCCCUAUAUAGUGCACUACUUUGAACAGGGCCCUAUGGCACCCUACUCCCUAUAUAUAGUGCACUGCUUUGGACAGGGCCCUAUGGCACACUAUUCCCUAUAUAGGGCCCUAUAUGCCUCUGGUCAAAGUUGUGCACCAUAUAGGGAAUAGGGUGCUAUAGGGCCCUGUUCAACGUAGUGCACUAUAUAGGCAAUUAGGCUCGGGUCUAGAGUAGUGCACUAUAUAGGGGACAGGGUGCCAUAGGGCCCUGUUCAAAGUAGUGCACUAUAUAGGCAAUUAGGCUCGGGUCUAGAGUAGUGCACUAUAUAGGGGACAGGGUGCCGUAGGCCCAUGUUCAAAGUAGUGCACUAUAUAGGGAAUAGGGUGCCAUAGGGCCCUGUUCAAAGUAGUGCACUAUGUAGGGAAUAGGGUGCCAUAGGGCCCUGUUCAAAGUAGUGCACUAUGUAGGGAAUAGGGUGCCAUAGGGCCCUGUUCAAAGUAGUGCACUAUAUAGGGAAUAUGGUGCCAUAGGGCCCUGUUCAAAGUAGUGCACUAUAUAGCGAAUAGGGUGCCAUUUGGGAGGCAUGCGGUCUUUUUCUCCAUGGAGGGUUUACUGUUGAAACCAUCAUCUAGUCCCUUUAGUCAAAACCCUUUAUAUAGAUAUAGGUUAUCCCAUAGUAAUAAUAAUGAUACUGGUACAGAUGUUGUUUUUAUAGAAAUUACAGUAUAUCUAUUGAUAUAGUUGCUGACUUUUAUAUUAUGGGAGAGAUUUAAAAAAUAUAAAAAAAUGUCUAUAUUUACCUUUUGUGUUUCGUUUGUUUUUUUCUCUCCAGAAAUUAUACGACUAUGAUUAUUUGUACCCGAUGAAAACUGAACAAACAAACAAAUAUAUAUAUAUAUAUAUAUACCAACAAUGUAUUAAUGGAGACGUUUGAGCUGUGCAACGAAGGUGUUCUCUUCAAACACAAAAUACACAACUGUAAUGUUUUAGUUGUAGGCUACAACACCAACGGUUUGGGGAAAAGCUUUUCUCGUUGUCUUUAUGGAGUCGUCAUAUCCAGAUGGAUCAUCUACAAGUAAUGCAAUCAUAAUGUACAUACUAUCAUGGUAUUUUUAUGGUCAGCUGUACUAUUUUGCCGACAGACACACACAGCCUGUACACGGUCUUCACUACUACUAGGCUGUGAAAGAUGUCAGUGUCCUGUACGCUGUUGAUGUUUGUUAGUUAGGCUCUUUUUGUUUUUGUUUACAUUGACUUGUCUUUCAUUUGGGUUUUGAUAUAAUUUGUAAUGUGACCUCCUUUGUAAUGUUAUUUUCUAGAACUCAGCCUUUACACUUUGAAAAAAAAACUGUUUGAUUAAUUAGAAAUAUAUAUGACUUGUGAAAAAAAAAAGAUGACGUUUAUGUAAAUAUGAAAAAUUAAGCUGUUGUUGAUUUAAAGUGCUCCAGGGGCGGCGAGAGGAAACGCCCAGCUCACCUCACGUAGCUAAAUACUUCCUUACACCCCUCUUUUCUUCCUGAUAUCCUCCCUCCCUCCUUUCCUCCCUCCCUCCCUCCCUCCUUUCCUCCCUCCCUCCCUCCUUUCCUCCCUACUUUCCUCCCUCCUUUCCCCCCCCCCUCCCUCCUUUCCUCCCUCCUUUCCUCCCUCCUUUCCUCCCUCCUUUCCUCCCUCCUUUCCUCCUCCCUCCCCUCCCCCUCCCCCUUUCCUCCCUCCUUUCCUCCCCCUCCCUCCUUUCCUCCCCUCCUUUCCUCCCCCCUCCCCCCCCAUCCCUCCCUCCCUCCUCCCUGCCUCCUUUCCUCCCUCCUUUCCUCCCUCCUUUCCUCCCUCCUUCCUCUCUCCUUUCCUCCCUCCUUUCUUCCUACACCUUGUUUACAAAUUAACCUGAUCAGAGGUGUUUGUUACAUAUCUCCGUUUUGUAUUUAUACGAAGAAGAAAAAAUAUUCAGAAAUGCAACCCAUGAAAAAGGCAGUGGCAUCUGCAGGUUGUGGGAUUUAGCCCCAUCCUGCAGGUUCUGGGGUUAAGUCCCAUUCUGUCUGCAGGUUGUGGGGUUUAGCACCAUCCUGCAGGUUCUGGGGUUAAGUCCCAUUCUGUCUGCAGGUUGUGGGGUUUAGCACCAUCCUGCAGGUUCUGGGGUUAAGUCCCAUUCUGUCUGCAGGUUGUGGGAUUUAGCACCAUCCUGCAGGUUCUGGGGGUUAAGUCCCAUCCUGUAGGCAGGUUGUGGGGUUUAGCACCAUCCUGCAGGUUCUGGGGGUUAAGACCCUGCCCUGUGUUUGCUGAACCAUUAGUGGGCAUGGCAACACGUAUCCUGGCUACACCACCGCGUGUCUCUGUCCCUACCCUCUACAUCCUCUGCUUCCAUAGGUGUUGUGAUGAGAUACCCCCUCCCCUGUCCUUGUAUGUGCAUGCACUAUGGUUCUUCCACUUAACAAUAACAAUCAAUAAAGUUUGUCAAGAUAAGCA
Molecule: long non-coding RNA, 2922 nt
Organism: Oncorhynchus tshawytscha (Chinook salmon)
Lineage: Eukaryota; Metazoa; Chordata; Actinopteri; Salmoniformes; Salmonidae
Source: Ensembl